UGGCUUUGGCAGCACGGGGUACCAGAGUAGGAAGGGUACGGAGAAGAUUGGCAUGGCCCUGUGCAAGGAUGACACUCAAUUCGUAAAGCUUUCCAAGUUUUA
Small nuclear RNA from Phacochoerus africanus (Common warthog), 102 nucleotides. The record is from RefSeq and is a predicted model, not a curated record. NCBI's taxonomy places the organism in Eukaryota, Metazoa, Chordata, Mammalia, Artiodactyla, Suidae.